Molecule: long non-coding RNA, 320 nt
Filed under: Nicotiana benthamiana
Lineage: Eukaryota; Viridiplantae; Streptophyta; Magnoliopsida; Solanales; Solanaceae
Description: long non-coding RNA (NBEN_LNC017468)
Source: RNAcentral
CAUUUUGAACCAUAACGCUCCUAUUUUUAUUCCAAGAAAUAUUGCAAACAUCACAAAAUGUUCAAGUAAUCCAAUCGGAUGAAACAUCAGCUGUUGGAAUCGAAACAGCACUACCAACUGUUGGACAGAAUCAGAUUGUACAAACAGAACCAUUCAAUACUUUGGAGGAGAGGCAACUAAUGGAUGCAAUGAUGCAACCUUUGCACACAAUACAGCGGCAGCAAAGGAAUGAAAUUACUCCAAUUAAUUAUCCUUCUGCUGAUAGCAACUCAGUAGCAUUUUCACAGGCUUGGCAUCAUCAUCAUCUAUCAUCUGCUCCA